GGCUGCUUCACUUCUUCAGUUAAUUAAAUGAAACAGAAACCGAGAGAGCGAGAGAGGGAGGUAUUAGUGUGCUUGAGUGACAACAGGUUCAGACAGUGUGACGAUUGUGUGUGUCAGAGUAAGGUGAGUUGGGCCCAGAACACAGAGAGCGAGUGAGAGCAGAGUCCAGCGAAAACAGCCAGAAGAUUGCAAAGACUGGAUUAACAUCUCCUCCUGAGUUCACAAGACCAUGACUAUCGGCAGGAGCUCCAGAAAGAACAAGGCCCCUCAUUCUCCUCCUUUCCUGGACAAGGCUAAUGGAUUCUAUGGGCGCUUGGAUGAGAUGUUUGGAGACGAUGUACAGAUGGAGAGAGAGACCAUAGAAGAACAGAUAGGAACCUUAAACCGGAGCACCCAAGACAAUAGUACAGCUCCAGGCUGGAUAGAAGAAGAUGACCAUGUGGUUGAUUUUAACCAGGGUAUGAUGGAUGACGAUGGGACCACUUUACUGAAGAAAAAGCCCAGCAGACUGAGUCGCCGCUGGAGCAGGAUGAGCUCCAGGAAGGGAAAAUAUGACAAAUUUCCCUCAGAAAAAGAACUUGGUAAUGAGACCAACAAGCCCACCUCUGUAGAUCUAAACCCAGAGGUGCCACCAGCAACCCAAACCCUGGAAAACAGCAAAGAACCAGAACCAACGCUGAUCCAUUUCUCUGUGAGGGAGCAUACUGAUGACCAGACUCUGAUAUCAGGGAAGAAAGAAGGAGAACGGGAAAUGGAAGACACAAGAAAAGAGAAGAAGACAGAAGGCAAACUGAAUGGAGAGUCAAUGGAAGUUGUAAAGAGGAACAAUCUCAAGAAUUAUCGCAAGGCCGUGGACAGAGCUUUCCGUCGAGGAUGGGAGACUUUUGUUGCCAAUCUGUACAGUGUGACACUGACACCUAUAUCAUCAACCUCCUCUUCAUCCACACCAUCAGACAAAACUGAAUUCAACAGGAAUCGUGUUUUAGCAGAAUUCAGAUAACAGUAGAACAGACUCAUUUGUAUUUUCAUAUUGAUGAGUAAUUUCAUUUAUUCAUUUAAGUGUGCUCAAAUAUUUAAUUUGCAUUGUUGUUCUUGCAUAAAACUGAUAACCAUCAAUCUUGUUUUAAACUGAUCAUUAUGUAACCUGACAUGAAAGGUCAAUAUUUGAACUUUUAUCAGUGUAUAAAUUUGUUAUCACAGUGCUAACUAAAGAGGCGUCUACCUGAUCUUUGUUCCCUUGUGAGGAAACAUGAGGCCUAUAAUUAUCCAAUGUGGACAGAUCCUUUUUAUUUGAUGUGAUAAUGUUUUUGAGUAGCAGAGUUCCUGUACUUUGGCGAUGAACGUGUAUUACAGGUUUUGUACCAAAGGGUUAACCCUUAAAAAAAAAAAACUGGGAGCUCAUGGAUUUUUUUUUUAAUGUCAUCAACAGGUAACAUCACUGGCAGUGAAGUAUAUAAAUAACUGAGCCGAGAGAUUAAAUGAAGAUGGCUUUUGUUUUCUUGGGACUUAUUUAUCUUGUCUAACUUAGUUUGCUGAACCCAGUUUCCUAAUGUUAUGAAGGAGAAUUUUUAUUUGUAGCGUCUUUUUUAUCUGCAUUGUGACAUCAAAGCAGUGCUUAUAAUAAAAAGGAAAAGUGAGAAAAAAGUCAAUCUGUUUGGCU
RNAcentral lists this long non-coding RNA (1660 nucleotides) under Sinocyclocheilus grahami. Its description in RNAcentral is "lncRNA (ENSSGRG00000044159.1)". The record is from RNAcentral. Lineage: Eukaryota; Metazoa; Chordata; Actinopteri; Cypriniformes; Cyprinidae.